Molecule: ribosomal RNA, 253 nt
Filed under: uncultured bacterium
Lineage: Bacteria
Description: partial 16S ribosomal RNA
Rfam family: Bacterial small subunit ribosomal RNA
Source: RNAcentral
UACGUAGGUGGCAAGCGUUGUCCGGAUUUAUUGGGUUUAAAGGGUGCGUAGGCGGUCCUAUAAGUCAGUGCUGAAAUAUCUCGGCUUAACCGAGAGGGUGGCAUUGAUACUGCAGGACUUGAGUAGAGUUGAGGUUGGCGGAAUUGACGGUGUAGCGGUGAAAUGCUUAGAUAUCGUCAAGAACACCGAUAGCGAAGGCAGCUAACUAAGCUCAAACUGACGCUGAGGCACGAAAGUGUGGGGAUCAAACAGG